GAAAAGUAUGUUCAUCAUGUCUCUAAAAUUUCAUAUGAUAAUUGAUGAGUGCAAAUUGUGCACUUAUUUAGACCAUUUUAUUAAGUUUUUAUGUCGUCAAUUUAUUAAUUUCUACUUAAUUUGAGUUAAUUUUAGUUUGUUUUUAGUGAUGGACUCGUUCAGAGCAAAUGGAAAGGAUGAAGAACAAAUUGGCUAGUGGAUGCAAUAUUGAAGAACAAAUUCAACACUUGAAAAAUUGAAGAGGACGUUGAUUGCACAAUGGAGGAACUCAAAAACUGAAAUAUAUUAUAUUGAAAGAUUGAGGACUUGAUGAUUAAUAUUACAUUAAAGGCUUUGAAUUGGAGUCAAAUUUGGUGGCUAUGGAAUUAUUAUAUAAAGAUGUACACGCAGGAGGAAUUAGGGAGAGAUGGGAGUCCUUUCGUGAGUCAACCAUUGUGGCUGCUAGAAUUUUCUUUUGAUAUAUAUAUACACGUAUAUACUGAAGAGAAGGAAGCAGCCAAUUUUAAUAUAUAUUUUUCCACACACCAUAUUAUAGAGAAGCACGAAACUUUUGGCAGGAAUUCGAUAUUUUUUGGCACACAUUUUGAGGUGGCAAGAGGUGAUUGACACAGAUAGGGGGUACGGCUGUUGGGAGAAUUAAUUGGAGGGAGCUGGGGAUUUCUUUUUCUGCCAGUAAUAGAGACGCACAGAAAACCAAGGGUGAGGAAAUACUAUAUUUUAUACACACUUCGGAGGCUGAAAUUGUAAAACCGAGAGAGAGCAAAAAGGAGGCAGAAUAUAUACACGCAUACACGGCCAAAGAUGGCAACACGCGACGGCUUUACUUUUACAAAUUAUUCACGUUCCGUCCAUUUUCAGUGAUGCCUUCCAUAAUUUCUUACAUACACGGCCAGAGAUGGCAACACGCGACGGAUUUACUUUUACAAAUUAUUCACGUUCCGUCCAUUCUCAGUGAUGCCUUCCAUAAUUUCUUGUUUUUCUCUCAUUACUAUGCGUAGCUAAAUUUAACUUUAAGGCGAACAAUAUAACUGAUUUGGGAACCUUUAUUUUUUUUAUUUGAGAUUCUUAUUCUUUUAUAUUUUAUGCGUG
This 1089-nucleotide long non-coding RNA is filed under the name Olea europaea subsp. europaea. The record is from RNAcentral. Lineage: Eukaryota; Viridiplantae; Streptophyta; Magnoliopsida; Lamiales; Oleaceae.